This 429-nucleotide ribosomal RNA is filed under the name bacterium. Its description in RNAcentral is "partial 16S ribosomal RNA". It matches the Rfam family "Bacterial small subunit ribosomal RNA", at positions 355 to 776 of the family's 1533-position model. The record is from RNAcentral.
UAGGGAAUCUUCGGCAAUGGGGGCAACCCUGACCGAGCAACGCCGCGUGAGUGAAGAAGGUUUUCGGAUCGUAAAGCUCUGUUGUAAGAGAAGAACGUGUGUGAGAGUGGAAAGUUCACACAGUGACGGUAACUUACCAGAAAGGGACGGCUAACUACGUGCCAGCAUCCGCGGUAAUACGUAGGUCCCGAGCGUUGUCCGGAUUUAUUGGGCGUAAAGCGAGCGCAGGCGGUUUAAUAAGUCUGAAGUGAAAGGCAGUGGCUUAACCAUUGUUCGCUUUGGAAACUGUUAAACUUGAGUGCAGAAGGGGAGAGUGGAAUUCCAUGUGUAGCGGUGAAAUGCGUAGAUAUAUGGAGGAACACCGGUGGCGAAAGCGGCUCUCUGGUCUGUAACUGACGCUGAGGCUCGAAAGCGUGGGGAGCAAACAGG